Molecule: long non-coding RNA, 6072 nt
Organism: Symphalangus syndactylus (siamang)
Lineage: Eukaryota; Metazoa; Chordata; Mammalia; Primates; Hylobatidae
Source: RefSeq, a predicted model, not a curated record
AGAGCACCCCCCCCCGCCGCGCGCGCACGCCUGACGUCAGCGGCCAGCGUGAGUCACGCGCGCAGGGAGAGCGCGAGGCGGCCUCUUCCUCCCCCCCUUCCUCCUCCGGCCCGGCCCAGACCGGUUCCAACCUGCUGGGGCCGGUCCCAACUGCCUCCAACUGCCACCAACCUCUGGUCGGGCUGUCGGGCGGGAAACUCGGUCCUGGCCGCCGAGUGGGGAAGGCGGGAGCUCGGGAUGCAGAGUGCACUCUCCCUAGGCCAGGCCUUCGAGGCCUAACUGUUCCUCAGACCAUAAAACCACAGUAGUAGGCUCUUUUGGGGGCAGUGAGAAGUCCAAGACACAACCAAGACGAGUUCCGUGGGGUCCAGCCCCAGAACCCACCUAUGAAUGAUGAUUAGCGUGAAGUCCUGUCAGGAGAUUCCGUGCAUUUUGCACAGGAAGCCUUUUGUGUCCCUAAGGCUCGUAGGUUGUCCACGAGGGCCACCCUUGCUUGAAUUCACAGUCGACGUAGAUAAACAUGCAGAGAUGGAAACGUGUCGGUGCGUGCCCAUGACCGUUUCCCUCGCGGGCUGUGCGGAGCCUGAAUCUGGGAGCCCGAAGGUGAUGGGUUCCAAGUAUGUCUGCAGGCUCAGCAGAAAUGUGGCAUUAGAGGGAGCCCCAAAUACUGACACUACAGGAGUCCAGCAAGAUGGGAAAACCUCUUGCUGGAAGUCUGCAUCUGUGUGCUUUUAGGUCGCUGUCUUCAUUUCCUUCAAGCCACAUUAAGCAUUCAUUUCCUAGAGUUAGUUGGUGUGGGAGAAAGAUGAAUAAGGGUCAGGUUUCUCCUGUUAAGCAAAAUGUUGCUUUCCAUUUUCCCUGAUGCUCUGUGAAUGCCUCGCAUCCCCGUGAGCUCCUGAGUGAUGUGCAUGUUUAAAAGGAUCACCAGCUGCGAGAGGUUUUGGAACCUGGGGGGUUGAGCAGCUCUUAAGUUGUUCAGUGAACGAAGAGCAGAAUCAUCUGUUGGAGUAGAAAGAACUCAAACCAGUCAGGAGGAACUCUUGUUAUAGAAGACCUUGGGAAACUGUUCUGGGGUUGGGGAACAUUGGUUAUAGGAAGUGUAUGGUUUCUUUGUGGGAUUCUCUGUUGUUGGCUGAAAUCAUUUAAGCUUCUUGACUACAGUCUGACUCACGUUAACCAUUCCUUUUCUGAUACGGACAUUGCUUUCCUGGUCCUUUCUUACUGGAGAUCUUUCGCAGUCUUUCCAUUGAUUUUGGUGAGAUGUUCUUAGCUCAAAGACUACUUAUCAGUUGAAUGGUGUAGUCUUGAUUUUCGAAUCUGGAAACUUCACAUAAUUGGAACUUCUUUAUAAUCUCUGGUUGCCCAGAUCACUUGUUUUUAGCAAAAUAAACACAUUUUGAGUCAUGAGAGUCUUGGUUUCAGCAACUUAUGUUUCUGUGUUGUGUUGUCAUUGAGCAUACUAUGGAAUCUGUAUUAGAAAGGCUUUCUUAUUUUGGACUUGACAGGUGAAACAAGUGAACAGCUGAGUAAAUGUCAGUAUCAGUCUUUGUCCUCUUUAUGCUCAUUUGUUUAAAACCUGUCUUUCCGGCCGGGCGUGGUAGCUCAUGCUUGUAAUCACAGCAUUUUGGGAGGCCGAGGCGGAUCACAUGACAUCAGGAGUUCGAGACCAGCCUGCCCAAUAUGGCAAAACCCCGUCUCUACUAAAAAUACAAAAAAUUAGUUGGGUGUGCUGGCGGGCGCCUGUCAUCCCAGCUACUCAGGAGGCUGAGGCAGGAGAAUCGCUUGAACCCGGGAGGCGGAGGUGGCAGUGAGCCGAGAUCGCGCCGCUGCACUCCAGCCUGAGCACAAGAGCAAAACUCCGUCUCAAAAAACAGAAACAAAAACAAAAAAAACCCUGCCUUUCCAUUCCUUGUGGCUAUGUUAGAUACUAAAGAAGGCUUCCCCACAACCCAUAUGCAUCUGCUUUGACUGGUGGUUUCUAUCAUCCUACAAAGACUGUGACUUAUUGGUGAGGGCAGCUGGACAACUCUGAGAGCAACUUAGAGAAAUCCAUCUUGGGCACACUCUAUAAAGGAGCUCCUUCUCUGCAAAUAGCACCCCAGAUAAGUGCACAAAAGCAAGAUACCCUCGUGGACCUACACGUCCUCCCGCUUUUCAACACCCUGAUGCCUGAAGCUAUGGUUGAUACUAAAGGAGGUUUUCCCACUAUCCGUAUGCAUCUUCUCUGUUUUGAGAUUGCAACUAUGGACAGUUAUGGCUAAUCCUAGUAGAUUGUCUUCCCUUCUUUUAACAUCUUGGAUGAAUUUGGGUCACACUAAUUGUUAUGUGAAGAUGGAUGUUGAAUUGUGUAGAAUUUGACAGCAGUAUCAAGAGCUGAGGAGAAGGAGAAGAUGGAAAGGAGUCUAGCAACUUAAAAAUCUCACAGCAUUCUCUGUGAGGUGACCUUUUUUCCUGUUGGUGGCUCAAUUUCUUUAGGACAUAAAGAAGAUACUGAGGCCUGUGACAGCCUGUGACAGUAUCAUCAAGUCGUAUCUGAACUUAUUGAACUGUUUCCUCCCCUUCCUUAUUCUUUAUUCACAGUUUGCUUUUCAUGUGCAUAAGUUGACUCAUUUGUUUCUUGUUAGCAUUUGAAACACCAUAUAGUCACCAUAAGUCCUGACAAAAUGACUUAAUGGGGAGGGGGAAGGUCCAUGUCCCACCUUCCUAUGAAAUUUUGGCCUAUUCACAAGUCUACCCCCUCAUAGGUGAAGUAGUUAUGUUCUGUAAAGAAGAGAUUGAUAAAAACCUUUAGCAUGGUGUUUUGUGACUUAGAAGUUUUAAGUAGUCAUUCUUAUAUCUAAGCAUUUAUUGAUUUUGGUAAGAACAUUACUAUAUGUUUCUGAUGUCACUUUUACUGUUAAGAGGUGCCAGGCAUCUGGUGGCCUGCCACUUCAGGAUUUGUGUGAAUCAGACCAUCUAAAUAUAAUAGAAAUUAGAGACUAGUACUUGUAUUUCCUGAUUAAAAACAAAUUAACCUGUUUUACUAUUGAAGUAAGAGUACUUUAUAAUGAAUACAAAAAUGUAUAUUAAAUGUCCAGUAGAGCAUGCUAAAGUGAACAUUUCUGUUUUUAUUUCAGCAACUUAUUUUAUGGUAUUGUAGUUAUGGCCUGUCUGAAACUCUCUGACAUAUUCUAAACAGCUUUCAGAGAGUCACUGAGGCUUAUUUGCUACUACUCUUGUUUUUCCUUUAGCUCAGUUAAGAAAUGCUUAGUUCGCCGGGCUUGGUGGCUCACGCCUGUAAUCUCACCACUUUGGGACGCUGAGGCGGGUGGAUCGCCUGAGGUCAGGAGUUCGAGACCAGCCUGGCCAACAUAGUGAAACCCCAUCUCUACUAAAAAUACAAAAAACUAGCUGGGUGUGGUGGCGGGCACCUGUAAUCCCAGCUACUAGGGAGGCCGAGGCAGGAGAAUCACUAGGACCCAGGAGGCGGAGGUUGCAGUGAGCCGAGAUCGCGCCAUUGUACUCCAACCUGGGCAACAAGAGCGAAACUCCGUCUCAAAAAAAAAAAAAAAAAGCUUAGUUAACAGUCAGCAUGGUAGUUAAGAGUACUGACUCCAGGGUCGCACCACCUGGAUUUGAGGCCCAUCUCUGUCAGUUACUAGCUGUGAGAUUUUGGGCAAGUGACUUACCUCUUUGUGUAUCAGUUUCCUGAGAAUAGGAAUAUUACCUGUCUCAUGGGGUUGUUAUAAGGGUGAAAUAAAUGAGUUCGUAUAUGUAAAGCGGUUAAAACAGUGCUUGGCACUUAGCACAGCGUAGGUACUGUUCUCCGCCAUUAUUUGAACAGGGCCCUAGUCACUGCUUUCAGUUGCAUUGCUCCUUGCUUCAACAGCCCUGAUUGAAUGCCUUCUUUAGUUGCAUCCACACUAAAAUAGAUUCUUCAGUUCCUAGGGCACGCACGGGGCAGCAGCAUCUUCAGAGAACAGUUCUCUCUUCCACGUCCACUUGAAUUCUUAUUUCAUUCUCCAGUCUUUGUAGUGCCUCCAUCAUACUGCUUGUAUCUUACAUGAUGGAUGUGUGUUCUAAACUGACCCACGCAGUUUAGGGCCAAAUACUUUGUUGUACAGAAAACAGUGUACAAAGAACGUGUUAGUUUAAACAUGUUACUAAAGUGUCAUAAAACUGGAGGUUUUCCAGGCUAGCUAUGUACAGAAAAACUUUUGAGGGUUUUUUUUUUUUGUUUUUUUUUUUUUUUUGCUUUUUGAGACAGGGUCUCAGUCUGUUGCCUAAGCUGGAGUGCAGUGGCAUGAUCUUCGCUCACUGCAACCUCCGCCUCCCGGGUUCAAGCGAUUGUAGUGCCUCAGCCUCCUGAGUAGCUGGGAUUACAGGCAUGUGCCACCACACCUGGCUAAUUUUUGUAUUUUUAGUAGAGAUGGGGUUUCACUAUGUUGGCCAGGCUGGUCUCAUACUCCUGACCUCAAGUGAUCUGCCCGUCUUGGCCUCAAAGUGCUGAGAUUACAGGUGUGAGCCACCAUGCCUGGCCAGAAAAACUUUGAAUAAAGUCAAGGUAUCAUAUAAUUUCGGGGAGGAUGAAUGGGGGUUUUUAGUACUCUCGAAUAUUCUCUAAAUCAGUGACGUGAGUGACCCUUAUGUUAACCUUCCUCAGUUUCACUAGCUCUAGGCCCCAUAGGGCAAGGGGACAGUUAUAGAAAGAAGGGACCAUGGACACACAGGACUAAUUGCAUACCCUUCCUGGCUCUUGUUAGUUCUUGGGGCCAGGACAGCUCACAGGUGUCAGAAAGUUCCAGUGAGCCCCAGUGAAAAGUGGGCUGAAAUAAUUGCCAGUGAUUGGCUCCCCCACUGUAAAACACUGACUUGCUUGAGUGCCCGUAGCACUUGAACUGUGGGUUGCUGUGUGUGUGUGCAUGUGCGUGUGUGCCCAGGUGCGGUAGGGAGUUUCAUCGCACAUAUUGUAUUUACUCUGACUAAAGGCCAGUGUGGGAUCAAAGACUACCUUAAAGGUUCAGACACACUUAGAAAUUCACUAGACACUUGUUUUAUUUGUCUGAAUAAUACUCCCUGAGCUUGCUUUUUCUGCCAGAGAGAAUAUUCUAAAUCAGGAUCACUUUAGAAGAUUUGGAAGCCACAUCUCUAUAGCUGUGUAGUGUGUCAGAUCUAUCCAAAUAUUUACCUACCACCAAUUAUAGCUUUAUUUGGCCUUAUUUUUUAAAGCUUUUUUUUUUUUUUUUUUUUUUUUUUGAGAUACGGUCUUACUCUGUCACCCAGGCUAGAGUGCAGUGACGUAAUCAUAGCUCACUGCAGCCUUGAACUCCUGGGCUCAAAUGAUCCUCUCACUUCAGCCUCCUGAGUAGCUGGGACUGCAGGUGUGUACCACCACACCCGACUAAUUUUUUAUUUUUAAAUUUGUUUUGUGAAGUCAGGGUCUUACUGUGUUGUCAGGCUGAUCUGGAACUUCUGGCCUCAAGCAGUCAUCCUGCCUCUGCUCCCCAAAGUGCUGGGCCCGAGACACCACACCCAGCCUAAACUAAAAGCCAUUUUUAGUAACUCCCACCAAUGUGGUUACUGUUACAAAGUCGUGUGGUUUCUGAGUCAUGUUUGGUAUCAGAAUAUGUAUGUAUAUCCUUAUAAAUAUGGAAUGUAGAACUGACAGUAGUUUACCUAUCAGAUUUGCAAAAAUAAGGAAAGAUUUUUAGCAGCUUAUAACAAACAUAUACAUACUUGGAUAAAUAAUUUAGAAUUUUAAUCUACGGCAAAUAUGCUCUUACAAUAUUCUCUUUCAGAGUAAAACAUACUUUAUUCUCAAACUUAAAGAACCUUUGAUAAGCUGUGAAUUAUGACCUCAGUGACUACAUUUCUUUUUAGGAGUUAUAUGUGGGGGAAGGAAAGAAGUAGCUAGCAGGGUUAACAUGGAAAGCAGGAGAUUACAGACAAGCAUCAUUUGAGCCUUUGGAUACUACAAAUAAUAUUAAAAAAUGACGGGUUUUUUGACUUUUUGUUUUUCCUUUCCUUUGGUGCUAGUUGCAGAAUCCUAUCAUAUUGUGGUUAGAUUUCAAUAAAGAAUGUUUAAGAUUAGGA